RNAcentral lists this ribosomal RNA (250 nucleotides) under uncultured bacterium. RNAcentral describes it as "partial 16S ribosomal RNA". It matches the Rfam family "Bacterial small subunit ribosomal RNA", at positions 524 to 773 of the family's 1533-position model. The record is from RNAcentral.
UACAGAGGGUGCAAGCGUUAAUCGGAAUUACUGGGCGUAAAGGGCGCGUAGGUGGUUACGUAAGUGAGAUGUGAAAUCCCCGGGCUUAACCUGGGAAUGUCAUCUUAUACUGCGUAGCUGGAGUGCAAUAGAGGGUAGUGGAAUUUCCGGUGUAGCGGUGAAAUGCGUAGAUAUCGGAAGGAACACCAGUGGCGAAGGCGGCUACCUGGAUUGACACUGACACUGAGGCGCGAGAGCGUGGGGAGCAAAC